GUUCCUUCCUUCAAGCAUGUUACAAAAACUAAUUUUUCCUUUAUGAUUGCAUGUGAAUUCAUAAAUUAUAACUACAACCAAGUAUAAACCAAAGAGCAUAUCAAACUUUCAUCCAUGUUUAUAAUUCUCUUUAACAGUCAUGUAAUUAAAGACCAAAUCCUCAUCAUUGUGUUGGAAGGUACCCUAAGACACAAAAUAAACAAACAAAAACAACUCUUUUUGGGUUUUUCAAAACAAUUUUUUUUUCAAAUUUUUAUGAAAUUUUCGGAUUUUUAUGUCAAAACAUACUGAAAACACUCCAAAACAGCUUAAAAACACUUAAACAGCAAGGAACAACACUAGAAGUAAUGGGUGAUAAUUUUCUACGAAUUUUCAUGCAAAACAGUAGUUACCAAUUCCCCCACACUUAAAUCGAACAUUGUCCUCAAUGUUUCAAGCAUAUACUCACACCAAAAAACAAGCAAAUAACAAACGACAAAUAAACAUGACAAAUAUGGCAAAGUAAAAACCAGACAGAGUAGAGUUUA
This 527-nucleotide long non-coding RNA is filed under the name Malus domestica (apple). Its description in RNAcentral is "long non-coding RNA (MDOM_LNC016398)". Lineage: Eukaryota; Viridiplantae; Streptophyta; Magnoliopsida; Rosales; Rosaceae. The record is from RNAcentral.